UCCUACGGGAGGCAGCAGUAGGGAAUCUUCCGCAAUGGACGAAAGUCUGACGGAGCAACGCCGCGUGAGUGAUGAAGGCUUUCGGGUCGUAAAACUCUGUUGUUAGGGAAGAACAAGUGCUAGUUGAAUAAGCUGGCACCUUGACGGUACCUAACCAGAAAGCCACGGCUAACUACGUGCCAGCAGCCGCGGUAAUACGUAGGUGGCAAGCGUUAUCCGGAAUUAUUGGGCGUAAAGCGCGCGCAGGUGGUUUCUUAAGUCUGAUGUGAAAGCUCACGGCUCAACCGUGGAUGGUCAUUGGAAACUGGGAGACUUGAGUGCAGAAGAGGAAAGUGGAAUUCCAUGUGUAGCGGUGAAAUGCGUAGAGAUAUGGAGGAACACCAGUGGCGAAGGCGACUUUCUGGUCUGUAACUGACACUGAGGCGCGAAAGCGUGGGGAGCAAACAGGAUUAGAUACCCUGGUAGUCCACGCCGUAAACGAUGAGUGCUAAGUGUUAGAGGGUUUCCGCCCUUUAGUGCUGAAGUUAACGCAUUAAGCACUCCGCCUGGGGAGUACGGCCGCAAGGCUGAAACUCAAAGGAAUUGACGGA
RNAcentral lists this ribosomal RNA (590 nucleotides) under uncultured bacterium. RNAcentral's name for it is "bacterial SSU rRNA". It matches the Rfam family "Bacterial small subunit ribosomal RNA", at positions 337 to 917 of the family's 1533-position model. The record is from RNAcentral.